UAUGCCUGAUGAUUGCAUAUAUUUUCUACAUCCACUGAUACAUCAGAGGUCUGAUAAAACUGGCCACCUGCCUUUGCCACAUCUGUGCAUGACUAAUUUUCUGACUGGUCAUUCCUACAAAUCAGACUGUUCCAUGUGAUUAUUUUGGGGAAUGAUAACAUUUCCUAUCCUGAAUUUGUAAAAAAGAACAUUGCAUUUUCUUUUUCAAAAAUGUAUAAUGAUUUUUAAAAUUUACAUAUCUAUUAGUUAUUUGAUUUUUUUCACAUUCAAUGAUUGUAAGAUAGAAAUGAUGAGUGCUUUGAUUUUUGGAUUUACCCUGUUUUACAUAAUAUUGGACCUGCCCAGGUACACAGUUGUAAGUCUAAAACAUUUAGGUUAGCAAGCUGGUGGAAAUCACAGAGAAUCUACUUGAUGUUUUAGGAAUUUUAGAGAUAUUGUUUUGUUUAAGAUGUUUAAGUAUAGUAAUGGUAAAUAAGAAUGACAAGAAGAAUCACCUUGGACAAGAAGAUAUACAACAGGAUCAGGCUAGUGGGACCAGUUCUUACUUUGAGAUGCCAGGUGAAUAAUGAUAUGCAGUAUGGAGCCUGAAAAGGUGAACACAGCCACAUGAAGUUCUCCGAGGAAACAGAAUCAGAGGACUGAAACAGACAUCAAUAAAAGAAAUAGUAGUUUAAAUAAUCAGAAACAUUUGAAACAAAUUUAUGAUUUGAAAAGUUCCUCACUGACAGACUUCCAGCAAAAUAAUUGUAAAAAACAAAGUGUUUGAUUCCAAGAAAACGAGUACCUACAAAAACUUGCUGCUAGAAAUAAAUAUUGUUUUUGUUAUAGUGAAUGUAAGAUGAUUGAACUGAAGGAUAUGUAUGCUGAAUUUUGUAUUUUGCUCAUUUAUAUGACUAAGAAUAUAAAUUAAUAAACAUUUUUGAA
Molecule: long non-coding RNA, 924 nt
Organism: Ruditapes philippinarum (Manila clam)
Lineage: Eukaryota; Metazoa; Mollusca; Bivalvia; Venerida; Veneridae
Exons: 3
Source: RefSeq, a predicted model, not a curated record